Cyprinus carpio (common carp) is the source of this 1123-nucleotide long non-coding RNA. The record is from Ensembl. NCBI's taxonomy places the organism in Eukaryota, Metazoa, Chordata, Actinopteri, Cypriniformes, Cyprinidae.
GGCGGCCCCCUGCGUCCACUCCCCUGCGUCCACCCCCGCAUCCUCAGCAGCCUCCAGCAAGUGGAGCCGUAGAGCUGGGCGUAGGCAGGACGCCCCACCCGUCCUGGCCCCCGUCAACCCUGGCGGUGAGCGGAAGAGCAAGAGGCCCCAGGACGUUACACCCAGAGAGAGGUAGCUGCUUUCUGGGGGAUGGUGAAAGCACCUCUCCCUCCCCUGGAGGAGGGCCGGGUGGAGAAUCUGGAAAUCUCAACAAGAGAGCAGUUUUCUCUAUCUCUGGGUCCCAGGAGGGCACAGAGAGUUGCAGACGGCCAAGCACCGGACCUCACUCAUCCUCCUCCUUCGCCCGAUGGCAGCAGUGGGCGGUUCGAGAGCGUCAACGAAGGCCCUACUCGCACCCUCUGCCAACCUGUGGAACCAGGUGAGCCUUGCACCCCACACUCACACCCCUCUCCGGUCCGCUCACAAGCCGCCUGAGUUGGGUCCCUGUGUUCCACCUCGCUGCCCCACUGCAGGUAUAGCUGUGGUUCUGCUGGUCCCACUUGUACGGUUUUUAACCACCUGGUCAGCACUACCCAGCCUGUCUCGCUGGCUUCUGCGGACCAACAGCCCCGGCUAUGCGAUUCAGUUCGCCCGGCGUCCCCCCAAGUUCAGCGGUAUCCGCUUCACUACAGUGAAAGCGUCCGAUGCCCCUGUUCUGUGGAUAGAGACUGCAGUCCUACUGGCGAAGGAUGCGAUAGAGCCGGUCCCUCCAGCCGAUAUGAAGACGGGGUUUUAUAGCCCUUACUUCAUUGUACCCAAGAAAAGUGGUGGGUUACGACCGAUCUUGGAUCUGCGAGUUUUGAACCGGGUCCUUCAUCGGCUACCAUUCAAGAUGUUGACGCAGAAACGCAUCUUCGGGUGCGUCCGUUCCCGAGAUUGGUUUGCAGUGAUUGACCUGAAGGACGCGUACUUUAAUGUAUUGAUCCUUCUGCGCCACAGACCUUUUCUGCGGUUUGCGUUUGAAGGACGGGCAUAUCAGUACAAGGUCCUGCCCUUCUGGCUGUCCCUGCCUCCCUGUGUCUUCACGAAAGUCGUGGAGGUGGCUCUUGUUCCCCUCAGAGAGCAGGGUGUUCGCAUUCUCAGC